Non-coding RNA from Xyrichtys novacula (pearly razorfish), 6442 nucleotides. The record is from the annotation of a GenBank genome assembly. NCBI's taxonomy places the organism in Eukaryota, Metazoa, Chordata, Actinopteri, Labriformes, Labridae.
UUGAGAUGAUCAACUCGGUUUGCCAGAAAUGUUAGAGUGAAGGUGCAAUAUUAGAGUAAGAUCCACAGCAAGUCCUGAUGUUUCACCACUCCAAGUUUGAGACAACAUGCAAGGUAAUUCAAAACAUGAUGUGACUGCUGUAAGUUUUAAAACAGACCUUUGGAGCUUGGAAGUGUCCCAUGCUAACCCUUACUGUAUACUAGAUUUAUUCCUCUACAUAGAAUAAGCUGAAGACAUCUUUUAGUUAAUUCAAAGUAUUUGAUUGGGAUUCAGUAUUCAGAGAUACUAAAUACUAAAGAAGCAGGCCCAGGGGCCAAAAAAGCUGAUGGAGACAUCCUUUGUGGAUAACACAGGUGACACAGCUAGCAACACAUGACAAAUCUUGUGGUCAGCAGGAUACCAUUUGAGGCCUACAUUUGGAGUUUGGGUCAUUACACUCUGUCUUUUGGGGCCAAAGUGACCCAAAAAGUUUUUAAAAGUUGGGACAAGGACGUCAGAUUCUCUACUUUUAACAUCACUCUGAAAGCAUUUGGAAACCAAAAAGACCAGUUUCAAGAGUUCAAAGACAGAACUGUCCCAUUUUGCCUGAUGUAGGAUUUCAGCUUCUUAACAGUUAAGUCUUCCUUUGUAGUUUCAUUUCACCAUGCCCAAAAGUUACCAAUGGGUGACAAGUCAGGACUACAAUCAGGCUGGUUUAGCAGCAGGACCUUUCUACUGCAGAACCAUGCUGCUGUAAUCCCUGUAAAUGUGGUUUAUCAUUGUCUGGUUUCCCAUGAAAACUCAUUGUCUUGAUGACACCAGAUGUUGUUCCAAAACCUGUUUAUACUGUGCAGCAUUAAUUAAGACUCUGCAGGUGUGUAAGCUACACAUGCUAUGGAGACUCAUGAUCCCAAUACCAUCAGAGAUGCUGGCUUUAAACUGAGAGCUGGUAACAAGUCGGUGGUCCCUCUACUCUUUAGAUGCUGGGUCCAUGGUUUCCAAAAGAAUGUCAAAUUCUGAUUCAUUAGACCACAGGACAGUUUUCCAGUGGUCCCAAGCUCAUUUUAAAUGGGCUCAGGUCCAGAGAAGUCUCUGGUGUUUCUGGAUCAUGUUCAUAUCUCAUUUCCUCUUUGCUUGGGAUCUUUUUGACAUGCAUUUGUGGAUGCAUGUCAAAAGGUUUAUGGAAGUGAUUUUGAGCCCUUGCAGUGAUUUCCACUGCAGACUCAGAUUGGUUUUUAGUGCAGUGUAACCUGAGAGUCUGAAGAUCAGGAUCAUCUAGCCUUGGUUUUAAUCCAAAAACUGUUAAAGCACACAAACUAUCAUCCAACGCUAUGACGGUGAAUCUGAUGUUGCAACAACAUGCAAUCUGAUUGGUCAGAAGUGGACACACAGUAUGCGAAACCUUAGAAAAAUCGACCGUGAUCCGAAAAAAUAAAUUCGGCAAUAUUGCAGGAUGGGAAAAUGUUGCUUAUGUGAACGCUUGUAUUGACAGGAUACGGGUUCGAAAAAAAAUAUUGACGUCCGCAAUAAUCGCAUGAAAAAAAAGCUCCGUGUAUGUAAGGACCUUAACCCUGUGUCUUUUUUUCCAAUUUAGCGACUCAGACUCUCUGAAUGUCUUUUUCAUACACAGUCAUGUCACUAACCUGUUGCAAAUUAACCUCAUUAAUUGAGAUGUGCAUCCAGGCUGAAAAAGUUUUCCUCAAAAGAGUCUCUAGAUUUGUGUUUCCUGUCACUGAAACAAGUUCAAGACCAUGAUGUUUGUAUAAUUGGCCAUUCUGAGAAACUGAAUUAAAAGAAUAUGAACAUGGUCUAAUGAUUUACAGCAUCACAUAAAUGAAAAUCCCCUGAAAACCAACCAUGUCCUCCAGUUUGCGUAUUUGAGAAGAAGUAAGAGGCAAACAGAUGGGAAUGUAAAGCGUGAGGGUGUUUUCGUGUGAAAUAACUCUAAUUAUGCUGUAAAACACAGCCUGAGGCAGCGGAGAACAAUGCAGGACCAAAGAGGAGAGACAGUGUGACUUAAACACUAUCAGCUGUGUUCACACUGUCGGCGUAUUCAACCACUGUUUACACCCCAAAUCUGGCCUCCCUCUUGCUCUCCGUCUCUGAGCCAUUAUCAGCGACCAUCUUUAUCUCCCUCUGUGAUAGUGAAGUGUGGGAGAGUACAUAUUUGUCUUGGAAAGGUGGGAAAUUUCACCCUCACUUGUUGGUAAACACAAACCCUUCUGUUAUCUCUGCCUAACUGAGUUUAUUACCAACAAAAACUGUGUGUUGAGAGAAGUCUUCAACCAAAGGGGAGAAAAGUGUGCUCACAGGCACUUUUACACUCGCCUCAUAAACUUAAGAAACUCCAAACUUACUAAGUUUACAGUGAUUUGGUGACACAUGAGAGAUAAUGUUAAAUCUUCAGGUCAUUAAAAGGAGGUUAUACACUCACCGGCCACUUUAUUAGGUACACCAUGCUAGUAACGGGUUGGACCCCCUUUUGCCUUCAGAACUGCCUCAAUUCUUCGUGGCAUAGAUUCAACAAGGUGCUGGAAGCAUUCUUCAGAGAGCUUGGUCCAUAUUGACAUGAUGGCAUCACACAGUUGCCGCAGAUUUGUCGGCUGCACAUCCAUGAUGCGAAUCUCCCGUUCCACCACAUCCCAAAGAUGCUCUAUUGGAUUGAGAUCUGGUGACUGUGGAGGCCAUUUGAGUACAGUGAACUCAUUGUCAUGUUCAAGAAACCAGUCUGAGAUGAUUCCAGCUUUAUGACAUGACGCAUUAUCCUGCUGAAAGUAGCCAUCAGAAGUUGGGUACAUUGUGGUCAUAAAGGGAUGGACAUGGUCAGCAACAAUACUCAGGUAGGCUGUGGCGUUGCAACGAUGCUCAAUUGGUACCAAGGGGCCCAAAGCGUGCCAAGAAAAUAUUCCCCACACCAUGACACCACCACCACCAGCCUGAACCGUUGAUACAAGGCAGGAUGGAUCCAUGCUUUCAUGUUGUUGACGCCAAAUUCUGACCCUACCAUCCGAAUGUCGCAGCAGAAAUUGAGACUCAUCAGACCAGGCAACGUUUUUCCAAUCUUCUAUUGUCCAAUUUCGAUGAGCUUGUGCAAAUUGUAGCCUCAGUUUCCUGUUCUUAGCUGAAAGGAGUGGCACCCGGUGUGGUCUUCUGCUGCUGUAGCCCAUCUGCCUCAAAGUUCGACGUACUGUGCAUUCAGAGAUGCUCUUCUGCCUACCUUGGUUGUAACGGGUGGUUAUUUGAGUCACUGUUGCCUUUCUAUCAGCUCGAACCAGUCUGGCCAUUCUCCUCUGACCUCUGGCAUCAACAAGGCAUUUCCGCCCACAGAACUGCCGCUCACUGGAUAUUUUUUCUUUUUCGGACCAUUCUCUGUAAACCCUAGAGAUGGUUGUGCGUGAAAAUCCCAGUAGAUCAGCAGUUUCUGAAAUACUCAGACCAGCCCUUCUGGCACCAACAACCAUGCCACGUUCAAAGUCACUCAAAUCACCUUUCUUCCCCAUACUGAUGCUCGGUUUGAACUGCAGGAGAUUGUCUUGACCAUGUCUACAUGCCUAAAUGCACUAAGUUGCCGCCAUGUGAUUGGCUGAUUAGAAAUUAAGUGUCAACGAGCAGUUGGACAGGUGUACCUAAUAAAGUGGCCGGUGAGUGUAGGUUUAUGAUGAUCACAGCAAAAAAAAGUACUUUAUAUCAGAUUAAUUUCUGAUGAGAUAAAGCUGAAAUAAUUUCUUGAAAUGGCUGGUUUAUGAAUAUAAAAAAGUGCCCCAUGAUUAAUAUUUUCAAGACGGCAUAUCACUAACAGUUUAUAUUCAAUGCAAGGACAGCACAUAAUAUUAUAUAUCAUAUAUGCAUCAUCGCAGUUGGUGCAAAGUUUUCUCUUAGAUGCAUUUCUCUGCUGCAGCCACAUAAUGAGAUUUAACCGUAAAGAGGCAAAAAGCAGAGACGCUGACUCCUCUGGAUUAUCCUGCAGUAUAAAGGCCUGUGUUUAUCAACAGUGAUUUUUUUUUAAUGUAUUUAUUUAUUUUAUGGUGAUGGUUUACUACUCAAAACAAACACAGUCGGGUGUUUUUAGUGCUCAGCAUCCCAAAGCCAGCUUCAUUCAUACUGGCUUUGUUUUCAUUUGGACCUGGAUGUCAACAGAUUAAAGCGGCAUGUCUCACAUUUGGGUCUCAUGGUGAAAAUUUAGGGAAUAGAAAAUGGUUAUUGGUUAAAAAUAUUGGCUGUAGAGCAAAGGAUGCUGGUGACCAGUGGUCUUUAAGUCCGGCAUACCUUUAGUUACUAAUACCAGGAGCAGCCACUCUGGAUUUUGUGCUUGGUGUUUCUAAGUUCCUCCAAGUUUCCAUGACAAAUUUCCAAAUGUAAGGAGGUGAGAUAUGAUGUUUUCAGCAGCCAACUUAAAAUGUUCUACUUGUGAGAUCAAACAGAACACAUCUCAAGGGCAAAAACAACUUUUGCAUCAAUUGCUUUUCUUUCAGUACUUUGGGAACACCCAUGCUCUGGUCAAUGUCAUUGCACCGUGCAGACAUUAAUUUAGGCACAAAUCUAAUUUACUUAUAAACUGUUUGGAUAUUUUUAUCAAAUCACUGGGAAGAAGUGGGUUUGCAAAGCGGUACACAGCCCUAAUUUAUGCCUCACAUAUUACUGUCAGUGAGUUAUAUUAGGUAUGUUAAACUAGUGAAUUGAUCCUGAAGCUUUUGUUUUUUAAGAACUUUGGUUUUGCUGAAACCAAGCAGCUUUUUUCCACAUUAAAGUGGUUUCUGCCAAAUGUAGACCUUUACCUGUCCAACUGUGAUUACAAUCUAUGACCUGACCCCCUGCAGGCUGCAUGUGAUACCAUCAGCACCCAGUGAAUAAUGAAUAAACCUUGAUCUAAAUUAUUGAGACAGUCAGCAACAAAGCACGGAGCAAUUAGCAUGAGCCAACCAUUUCCAUUAAUUAUCAUGAGUGCACAACAUUUAAGAAGCUACGAAAGGCCAGACUCAUUAAAGAGGGCAGUUUUUACUGUCAGCUCUACUGUCUCUGGCUUAUUGUUAGUCUCCAUAUCCAUAAACCCUGAUGUUUAAUUACUUAUAAUGAAACUGAACCCAGCAGGGCACCUGAGGUAAACGGGGGAUUAAAAACAAGAGGUCAAAAUUACAGCUCCAAGAAGGAGAGCUUCAUGUGAGCAUUUUGUUACACAUCAGAGGACUGAGCAUUUAUGAGAUCUGUGGCCGUAGCUUUUUUAAUAUAUUCAAAAUGUUCAAAUUCAUACAGACCGAAGUAAUCAAUCUCAGAAUAUCAGAUUAAGACCAAUUUGCACAUGACAGAUUUGGCAUUGUAGACCUACCGUCAAAUUCAGACUUUAAUUAUAUUCUGAAGGAUAAAACUAUUAAACAUAGAGAUAAGCUGAAGUACAAGUUUAUACUGUAAAAUGUCACAUUAGUAGGGCUAUUUCUGAAACACUGACUGAAUGGCAUGGAUGUUCAUAAUGCAUUUACACUUUUUAGGAGUUCUCGUUUAGAAACUUUCUCGAUUUUUUUUCCCGAAAUGUUUUAAUUUAUACAGUUUUACACGAUAGAGGACUGCUGUUGCGCUCUAUUAUCAGUCUAAUUAGCUGCACUUGUCCAGUAUAGCUGAACCUCAAAGUGGUAGGUUAAAAACACUAAAUUCUGUUUGACACAAAGUGCAUAAAACUUUUAGUUGUCAAUUGAGCAGACUGAGUUUUUAAAAAGAGAAAUGUUCCCAUCAAAAGCACAGAGAUGUCUCUGAAUUUCAUUCCACAAAUUCUGACAGCAGUGACUUUUACCAAGUUAAGCCUGGAGCAGUGUGCAAUCAUUUUGUAUUUUAUUCAGAGCAUAUUAAAGUGAUCAGUGAUCUGUUUAACCUCAUUAGAGGAUACAUCGUAACUCAUUAUGAUGCAUCAACAUUGCUGUUUUGUAACCAGCUGAGAACUCCUCAUUAAGCAUUUAUAGAGAGUAAAGACCUAAAUCGUUGGAUAAAUAAUACUACAGGCCUUAGUUAAGAAUCACUGAAUCAAGUUUGACUCUUUCAUUGCCAGUUAAUUCUAUUUCCAAGACAAUUUUGAACAGUGUCUGACCACACUAAACUUUGUCUCCAAAAAAAAAGAAAAAUACUCCUAAAAAAGGGUCAAAAUAAAGUGCAAAAUAAUUCAUAAAUAACUCACAAAACGGUUCGUUUCUGACAUAAUAAAGGCAUGCUUUUACAGUAUCAUAGUUACCUCAACAUAAGGAAGCCAGCUUUUAAUCUAUAUUUGGAGUUGGAGAGCUACAGAGAAAACUCUCUCCUCACUCAGGAUAUUUUUACAGAGUCAGCUGGCUCCGAACUCCCCACCCUGAAGACAUUUUUCAAACAGACGCUGCCUUUGACGGACAGGCCAGGCUCUGCCUCGGGUCUAAUGGCUCCUCGGUUGGUUUUCUCCUGCUGAGAGUUUCUCCACGGGGUCGCUCACACUGACAGCAACAGUCCC